GGAUUGUAGCUCAGUGGCAGAGCACUUGCCUAUCAUGUGUGAGGCCCUGAGUUCAAUCCCCAGCACCA
This 68-nucleotide transfer RNA is filed under the name Marmota monax (woodchuck). RNAcentral describes it as "tRNA.Asp". The stretch from base 5 to 65 matches the Rfam family "tRNA", at positions 6 to 65 of the family's 71-position model. From Rfam's summary of the family: Transfer RNA (tRNA) molecules are approximately 80 nucleotides in length. Their secondary structure includes four short double-helical elements and three loops (D, anti-codon, and T loops). Further hydrogen bonds mediate the characteristic L-shaped molecular structure. tRNAs have two regions of fundamental functional importance: the anti-codon, which is responsible for specific mRNA codon recognition, and the 3' end, to which the tRNAs corresponding amino acid is attached (by aminoacyl-tRNA synthetases). tRNAs cope with the degeneracy of the genetic code in two manners: having more than one tRNA (with a specific anti-codon) for a particular amino acid; and 'wobble' base-pairing, i.e. permitting non-standard base-pairing at the 3rd anti-codon position. Lineage: Eukaryota; Metazoa; Chordata; Mammalia; Rodentia; Sciuridae. The record is from RNAcentral.